UCGAGGGGCAGCAUGAACUUAGCUUGCUAAAGUUUGAUGGCGACCGGCGCACGGGUGAGUAACACGUAUCCAACCUGCCGAUGACUCGGGGAUAGCCUUUCGAAAGAAAGAUUAAUACCCGAUGGCAUAGUUCUUCCGCAUGGUAGAACUAUUAAAGAAUUUCGGUCAUCGAUGGGGAUGCGUUCCAUUAGGUUGUUGGCGGGGUAACGGCCCACCAAGCCUUCGAUGGAUAGGGGUUCUGAGAGGAAGGUCCCCCACAUUGGAACUGAGACACGGUCCAAACUCCUACGGGAGGCAGCAGUGAGGAAUAUUGGUCAAUGGACGAGAGUCUGAACCAGCCAAGUAGCGUGAAGGAUGACUGCCCUAUGGGUUGUAAACUUCUUUUAUACGGGAAUAAAGUGAGGCACGUGUGCCUUUUUGUAUGUACCGUAUGAAUAAGGAUCGGCUAACUCCGUGCCAGCAGCCGCGGUAAUACGGAGGA
This 481-nucleotide ribosomal RNA is filed under the name uncultured Bacteroidales bacterium. RNAcentral describes it as "bacterial SSU rRNA". It matches the Rfam family "Bacterial small subunit ribosomal RNA", at positions 62 to 532 of the family's 1533-position model. The record is from RNAcentral. Lineage: Bacteria; Pseudomonadati; Bacteroidota; Bacteroidia; Bacteroidales.